This 253-nucleotide ribosomal RNA is filed under the name uncultured bacterium. RNAcentral's name for it is "partial 16S ribosomal RNA". It matches the Rfam family "Bacterial small subunit ribosomal RNA", at positions 524 to 776 of the family's 1533-position model. RNAcentral also lists the same sequence under 1 other name. The record is from RNAcentral.
GACAGGGGUCUCGAGCGUUAAUCGGAAUCACUGGGCUUAAAGGGUGCGUAGGCGGGCCUGUAAGUGUCCUGUGAAAUCCCCCGGCUCAACCGGGGAACUGCGGGGCAUACUGCGGGUCUUGAGGAAGGUAGGCGCCGAGGGAACAGUAGGUGGAGCGGUGAAAUGCGUAGAUAUCUACUGGAACGCCGAUGGUGAAGACGCUCGGCUGGGCCUUUCCUGACGCUGAGGCACGAAAGCGUGGGGAGCAAACAGG